UACGUAGGGUGCAGGCGUUAAUCGGAAUUACUGGGCGUAAAGCGUGCGCAGGCGGUUUGCUAAGUCAGGUGUGAAAUCCCCGGGCUUAACCUGGGAACUGCGCUUGUUACUGGCAGGCUUGAGUGUGGCAGAGGGGGGUGGAAUUCCACGUGUAGCAGUGAAAUGCGUAGAGAUGGGGAGGAACACCGAUGGCGAAGGCAGCCCCCUGGGCUAACACUGACGCUCAUGCACGAAAGCGUGGGGAGCAAACAGG
RNAcentral lists this ribosomal RNA (253 nucleotides) under uncultured bacterium. Its description in RNAcentral is "partial 16S ribosomal RNA". It matches the Rfam family "Bacterial small subunit ribosomal RNA", at positions 524 to 776 of the family's 1533-position model. The record is from RNAcentral.